GGGAUGUAGUUUAUCGACAGCACCGAUUCUAGUAUUGACUGGUACUUUGAUUUAUCGACCAGAAAGGAUAAACAGCAAAAUUGAUCUCGAGAAAAGUUGAACUAAGAACCUAAUGACGACGCCCUGGACACUACAAUAGGCCUGUUUCGAUUCAAGUGCAGUUUAGUCCAUAAAUGACGUGUCAGGUGGGCUGUCUGAAGGCAGUAAAAGUUUCUUCGAAGUGAUUAACUCGUAGUUGGGCAGACGCGCGCACACAAACACGUAUCGCAUAUCUACCUCUGUUAAUAUUUAUUUAUAGAGAAAGACAAAGAGAUCGAUAUAUAUCGGCAUUUAUACACAGGGAUAAAUGAAUUCUGAAAAAAGUAUGAUCAAGCGAAACGGAGCUGCAAUCCGGAAUCUACUGAUUGCCGUAACCUUGGUGUCUUUAAUGUAUUUUGUCUAUAUGUAUCAUGACAUCCAGUCCCGCCUUCGACAUUCCGAUAUUGUUAGUGAGAAGUUUAAAAGAGACAGAGAAUCGUUAUCGUCCCAACUCAACGAAAUAAACUUAGAAAAAACAAAUCUAAAAGAAAAAUUUUAUAAAGAUAGACAAGAACUAGCUGCCAGAUUUGCAGAAGCUCAAGAAAAGCAUAAAAUGUUACAAAGUCAACAUCAAGAUUUAGAGAAUGAGUACAAUAGACUACAACAAAAAUAUGAAAAAUUCUCUGAAGACAAAAGACAAAAAGAUAUGAACAGCAAUCAGGAAUAUAUGCAGUUAAAGCAAGAAAAAGAAAUGGAGAUUGUUAAACUCAAAGAUGAGAAUGCUAACAUUGUGCGAGAGUACAAACAAUUGAAACUGGAGUUAAUUGAAUUGAAGAAGCAAGUUGAACAACAACAGGAUGAUGACAAUGCUGAUGCCAAUCAGCCAAAUGAGGACAAAGAGAUUCUCCACAUGCUUAGCAACCGAAGACAUGGCAAUAACAAAAUACCUCCUGACUUCGACCUCAACAAUGGCCUGAAUAAUGAGGGAAACCAACCACUGGAGAGGGUCAAUGUUGAAGACAAUCUUGCUGGACGUGAGCUUCCCAAUGACCACCACGGAGUCAUAGAAAACAAAUUACCUCCAGAUUUCUUUAAGGGUGACUUGAAUAAUGAAAACAAACUGGAGAAGGACAAUGCCUUUGAACAUGACCUUCAGUUGGAUGGUAGAGAAGUUCAGGGUGACAGAUGGCGAAAUCAAUAGAAUGAAGGGUGAUGUACCUCGAGGUCCAGCUUCCAAAGAAUAUGGAAAACAAGAAAUUAGAAUCAAAAUAUGAUAAUCAAUUAUACAAUGAAGAAGAAGAAGAUGAUAAUUAUCAAUGAACAAUUUCAUUCAUAGCGAUCAGUCAUUAACUGUUAAGGACCUCGUUAAAGUUCCUGCAAAAGAUUCGCCUAAAUUUUCCACAUGAGUUUUCAUCAAUAUAAAUGGAAGAGAAAAGAAUAUUUUUUUCAGGUUUAUUAACCUCAACAUUUCUGUGGUUCUGUGGUAAUGAUGGUGGCUAUGUGGGUAGGACUUUUUUUUUUUGUGAAACACAAAUUUUCAAAUGGUUUAAU
Octopus bimaculoides (California two-spot octopus) is the source of this 1569-nucleotide unclassified non-coding RNA. The record is from RefSeq and is a predicted model, not a curated record. Lineage: Eukaryota; Metazoa; Mollusca; Cephalopoda; Octopoda; Octopodidae.